AAUCCUCACAAUCCCAGUGCACACAAAUCAGCAUUAAAGAUGGACUUUGAUACCUGGUGCUAGGAUGCGAGUAACUUUUGCAAGCUAUGGAGAAUCUGAUCCAGUUCAUACCUGAAUGAGAGUUCUUGAAGACCUUUGAAACUAAACAUCAUCUAUGCUUUACCUAAGCACUGCUGUAUUUCUUGGAUGAAGGAGAGAUCUGUGACAUUUUGGUAAUCAAGGCCUGAUCCUACACCCCUUCUUUAUAAAUGGGGCCAAGUGUACAGGGGUACAACUAGCUUUGGAAUUGAAUGAAUAAGACCUUCAUGACACAGAACAUUGGAAGAAUGAAGUGGAUAAGACACCUUGCAGUCCCCUUGCCUGAUAUACCCUGUCUAGGAGCUGGCCAUUUUUCAGAAUGCAACUGAGGCAGAAGAAGAUUCACUUACUCAGGUUUAAACAAGGAACUGAACUGGCAGAAGAAGAAACUGAACUGACAUCUCCUGAGUCCUAGUCAGUUGCUUUAACAUGAGAACAUCCUUUCUUCCUUUGGGUGCAAAACAAAAAAAAGAACCAAGAGGUGUUGCACUCCCUGGAAACUGCUCUGCUAGCCUGCCGUAAAGCAGCAGAUCUGAUGAUUCACCUGUGACAUAACUACUUUCUCUCUCAUGCCAUUUUCCCAAUAUAUUUGGGCCUCUUUAGGGAAGGAGGGCUUAGAACUCAUUGAAGGCUGCUGCAAGAUACAAAAGAAAUGCUAGAUUGGAAAAGAUCUACCAUGUUUGAACAAGAAUCCUUUUCAGGCCUGGAGCACAAAGAAGAUAAUGAGGAGAAGGAAUGCGCAAGUCCUGCCAGACGGGCAGCAAGAACACUCCAAGGCUGAAAUAAGCUGAAGACAAAAGAAGAACAACCACAAAAACAGAAGCUGGGGAUGGAAAAACCCCAAAGCACUAAAACAAAGGAUACCAAUACCUAUAAAAGAAGACUUAAAAAAUGCCAAGUUGGAUCCAGUUUGAGACCUGCUGAUUUUCAUCCAUAUUGCUGGUUCCUUUGCCAUUCUGUUUCCUGCAGUGUCAUCAGUGGAGAAAAAGGACAUCCUUUAAUUGUAGAAUAUCCAUUUAGGGGUGGAUACAGAAUGAGUGCAGUCAUGUGUUGUCCCAUUCCCCUUUCAGAUCAUACUAAAGGAUCAGCAGCUAGAGAACCUUUUUUAAGUCCCAAAAUCAAGUAAGAACUCCCCAGCUCUCCCUUCCCCUCCAAGCUUAACAGUAUGUCCACUCUCUCCCCUCCAAUUCCUCCCCUUUCUUCUGCCACUGCUGUCUCUGGCUGCCCCCUGGGUUGGGAUUAGCCUCAGAGAUGCUCCUGCCCUACUCCUGCUGGGUUGCACCAGGAGCCAGGCUCAGCCUGGGACAGCAGCAGUGACAGCACCAGGUAAGUUCCACCUCCCUACUCAAUCCCUCCAAGUAUUUCCUGCCAACCUGGAAGCAGGCUUAGGGAGAGGCAGCCUGCCUGCCACUGCUGCCACUACUACUGUCAUGGAUGGCAUUGUUUGCACAGAAGCUUGCACAGGGUCAGUGGUAAGUGGAGGAAGGGGCAAAUGUGAAGGGAAGGGAGCACCAAGGAAGGAGGUGCUGGGGGUAGGGGUGAGAUACUUACUACUGUGUGGGCCUUAAAUAAAGUCCUUAGCUGUUACUUCUGUGGUGUGGUGUGGUAUGGUGUGGUCUGCCUAUCCUGGUACGGGAAGAUAAGGGGAGAAGCUGGGAGCAGGGAUGCAGCCAGCUAUGAAGCAUCAUUUGCUGCUCCCACACCCUCCUUUACCAAAUCCUGUAUAUGCCCAUAGUGCCAUUGUUAUUUAUUUUACCCCCUGAAAUGCUAAAUGCAUAGAUUUGAAAUAAGAGUUUUGAUUGGACUCAGACCUGAUAGGGUGCAUAUGUAAGAAUUAUCAGGAGAGAAGCUUUAGGAGUAGCAGCAGCCUAGCAUUACAUUUUGGAAAAUAAUGAUUGUAGACCACCAGGAUACAGUGAGAAAUCACAAACACCUUAUGCUGAGUAGUGGCAAAUACAUCUGACUGAUAGUGGUAGUAAUUAAUUCCUUGAUUCUAAUCUGAGAGCAAGCUUUAGUGCCAUGCAGAUUUGGUGUUUGAAAGUGAGUUCACAUGUUCUUGUGUUUUGGGGGCAGAAAAGGUAGGUCAUAUUGCUAGUUUCAGGAUGGCCACUAGCUUUUUCAAGUAACAGAGGAAAUUCUCAUGUUUCUUGGGAGACAUGUAAAUAACUAAGAUUUAUAGGUUGGUAUUGUCUGAUGGCUGUCAGCUGAGGUGAGUAUGUCAUGUAUUUGAUAGGAUAUAAAUCAUUGUCCCACCUGUUGUCAGGUGUUUUGAGCUUUUAGGCCUUGUGUAGCCAGAGGGGUAUGGGGGACUUACAGGGUGUGUCUACACACAAUAUGCUACAUUGCCAUACAGUGCACUAUGGCAAAGUUGCAAUCACGUGGGUUGGCAGUUACAUCUUAGUGGCGUGCUCCCCUGGUACAGGGCACUGCUAUGGCAACAUAGUAGCAAAAUCAAACCAUGCACCACACUCAUGGCACAGUAACCACCUGUACUGUGCCAUCACACAGAAGCUUGUACUUCCAAAAGGAAGUACUAAAAUGUAGUGCCAUAGCAGUGUUGCCAUACAGUAACGUGUACACGCUCCCACAGAAUCAGUUUGCAGAAGGCCACAUUCUCUCCCAAGAUCCUGUUGUGCUUUAUGAUUGUUUUCUUUCCUAUUGAUCUUAUCUGUAACAGCAGAAUUUUGAGAUCAGCCUGGUCAGCUGCUCUUUCAGUCAAUGAUACCAGCCAAUAGGAGAAUGAAAAGUAAUUGUGUAAGUUGCUGAUCAUUCUGGGGUUCAUGUUUCUCCUGAAUUGCUGGUGAAAUGAAAUUCGAGACGAAACACUGUUCUGUCAAACCGUCGAAACUCAAGGCAAAAUGGAACGGUGCCAUUUCACACAGCCCUACUGGUUACAAUAAAUUUAGUAAGCUUAUUAUAGUGGGCCUUGAGAGACGGACUGCAUUUGAUGGAUCUGAUUAAUUGAAUAAAGAUGUAUCAAACAUG
Molecule: long non-coding RNA, 3063 nt
Organism: Alligator mississippiensis (American alligator)
Lineage: Eukaryota; Metazoa; Chordata; Crocodylia; Alligatoridae
Exons: 7
Source: RefSeq, a predicted model, not a curated record